GAAUUCGCCCUUAGUUUGAUCAUGCUCAGGAUGAACGCUAGCGGCAGGCCUAACACAUGCAAGUCGAGGGGUAACAGGGAGUAGCUUGCUACUUUGCUGACGACCGGCGCACGGGUGCGUAACGCGUAUACAAUCUGCCUUGUACUGGGGGAUAGCCUUUAGAAAUGAAGAUUAAUACCCCAUAGUAUAUGACUGUGGCAUCACAGCCAUAUUAAAGGUUACGGUACAAGAUGAGUAUGCGUCCUAUUAGCUAGAUGGUGUGGUAACGGCACACCAUGGCGACGAUAGGUAGGGGCCCUGAGAGGGGGAUCCCCCACACUGGUACUGAGACACGGACCAGACUCCUACGGGAGGCAGCAGUGAGGAAUAUUGGACAAUGGAGGCAACUCUGAUCCAGCCAUGCCGCGUGCAGGAAGACUGCCCUAUGGGUUGUAAACUGCUUUUAUACGGGAAGAAACACCCCCACGUGUGGGGGCUUGACGGUACCGUAAGAAUAAGCACCGGCUAACUCCGUGCCAGCAGCCGCGGUAAUACGGAGGGUGCAA
Molecule: ribosomal RNA, 545 nt
Filed under: uncultured Gilvibacter sp.
Lineage: Bacteria; Pseudomonadati; Bacteroidota; Flavobacteriia; Flavobacteriales; Flavobacteriaceae
Description: bacterial SSU rRNA
Rfam family: Bacterial small subunit ribosomal RNA
Source: RNAcentral